Molecule: transfer RNA, 87 nt
Filed under: Escherichia coli
Lineage: Bacteria; Pseudomonadati; Pseudomonadota; Gammaproteobacteria; Enterobacterales; Enterobacteriaceae
Also listed under: 1 other name
Description: tRNA-Leu
Rfam family: tRNA
About the family: Transfer RNA (tRNA) molecules are approximately 80 nucleotides in length. Their secondary structure includes four short double-helical elements and three loops (D, anti-codon, and T loops).
Source: RNAcentral
GCGAAGGUGGCGGAAUUGGUAGACGCGCUAGCUUCAGGUGUUAGUGUUCUUACGGACGUGGGGGUUCAACUCCCCCCCCUCGCACCA